CUGCAUGAAGCUGGAAUCGCUAGUAAUCGCGGAUCAGAAUGCCGCGGUGAAUACGUUCCCGGGUCUUGUACACACCGCCCGUCACACCAUGGGAGUCGGGAAUGCCCGAAGUCAGUGACCCAACCGAAAGGGGGGAGCUGCCGAAGGCAGGCCUGGUAACUGGGGUGAAGUCGUAACAAGGUACC
Molecule: ribosomal RNA, 185 nt
Filed under: uncultured bacterium
Lineage: Bacteria
Description: partial 16S ribosomal RNA
Rfam family: Bacterial small subunit ribosomal RNA
Source: RNAcentral